This 73-nucleotide transfer RNA is filed under the name Cavia porcellus (domestic guinea pig). It matches the Rfam family "tRNA". From Rfam's summary of the family: Transfer RNA (tRNA) molecules are approximately 80 nucleotides in length. Their secondary structure includes four short double-helical elements and three loops (D, anti-codon, and T loops). Further hydrogen bonds mediate the characteristic L-shaped molecular structure. tRNAs have two regions of fundamental functional importance: the anti-codon, which is responsible for specific mRNA codon recognition, and the 3' end, to which the tRNAs corresponding amino acid is attached (by aminoacyl-tRNA synthetases). tRNAs cope with the degeneracy of the genetic code in two manners: having more than one tRNA (with a specific anti-codon) for a particular amino acid; and 'wobble' base-pairing, i.e. permitting non-standard base-pairing at the 3rd anti-codon position. Lineage: Eukaryota; Metazoa; Chordata; Mammalia; Rodentia; Caviidae. The record is from Rfam by way of RNAcentral.
GCCCGGCUAGCUCAGUUGGUAGAGCAUGAGACUCUUAAUCUCAGGGUCGUGGGUUCGAGUCCCACCUUGUGUC